GAUGAACGCUGGCGGCGUGCCUAAUACAUGCAAGUCGAACGCAGAAACAGGAGCUUGCUUCUCUGGAUGAGUUGCGAACGGGUGAGUAAAGCGUAUGUAACCUGCCUCGUAGCGGCGGGUAACACUUGGAAACGAUAGCUAAUACAGCAUAAGAGUUGAUGUUCCAUGACAUUUACUAAAAAGGUGCACUUUUAUCACUACCAGAUGGACGUGCGUUGUAUUAGGUAGUUGGUGGGGUAACGGCUUAACAACGCGACGAUACAUCGUCGGCCUGCGAGGGGGGACGGGCACACUGGGAACGAGACACGGCCCAGACUCCUACGGGAGGGAGCAGGAGGGAAACUUCGGCAAUGGGGGGAAGUCUGACCGAGCAAAGGCGCGUGAGGGAAGAAGGGUUUCCGAUCGGAAAGCUCUGUUUUAAGGGAAGAACGAGUUGGAUAGGGGAAAGUGCACACUGUGACGGUAUCUGACCAGAAAGGGACGGCUAACUACGUG
Molecule: ribosomal RNA, 495 nt
Filed under: uncultured bacterium
Lineage: Bacteria
Description: partial 16S ribosomal RNA
Rfam family: Bacterial small subunit ribosomal RNA
Source: RNAcentral